This 253-nucleotide ribosomal RNA is filed under the name uncultured bacterium. RNAcentral describes it as "partial 16S ribosomal RNA". It matches the Rfam family "Bacterial small subunit ribosomal RNA", at positions 524 to 776 of the family's 1533-position model. The record is from RNAcentral.
CACGUAGGGCGCAAGCGUUGUCCGGAAUUAUUGGGCGUAAAGAGCUCGUAGGCGGUCUGUUGCGUCCGCUGUGAAAUCUCGGGGCUUAACUCCGAAACUGCAUUCGAUACUGCCGUGCUUGAGGACUGGAGAGGAGACUGGAAUUUACGGUGUAGCGGUGAAAUGCGUAGAUAUCGUAAGGAAGACCAGUGGCGAAGGCGGGUCUCUGGACAGUUCCUGACGCUGAGGCACGAAGGCCAGGGGAGCAAACGGG